RNAcentral lists this ribosomal RNA (468 nucleotides) under uncultured bacterium. RNAcentral's name for it is "partial 16S ribosomal RNA". It matches the Rfam family "Bacterial small subunit ribosomal RNA", at positions 28 to 507 of the family's 1533-position model. The record is from RNAcentral.
GACGAACGCUGGCGGCGUGCUUAACACAUGCAAGUCGAACGGAAAGGCCCUGCUUUUGUUGGGUGCUCGAGUGGCGAACGGGUGAGUAACACGUGAGUAACCUGCCCUUGACUUUGGGAUAACUUCAGGAAACUGGGGCUAAUACCGGAUAUGAGCUCCUGCUGCAUGUUGGGGGUUGGAAAGUUUCGGCGGUUGGGGCUCGACUCGCGGCUUAUCAGCUUGUUGGUGGGGUAGUGGCUUUCCAAGGCUUUGACGGGUAGGCCGCCUGGGAAGGUGGACGGGCACAAUGGGAAUUAGGGAAGGACCAGAAGCCUACGGGAAGCAAGAGGGGGGAAAAUUGCAAAAAGGGGCGGAGUCAGAUGCAAGAACGGCGGGGUCGGGAAGAAGGGCUUUGGGGUGGAAACCGGUUUGGGCGUAGAAGAAGAGGGAGUGACGGUAAAGGGUAAAAAAGCCACGGCUAACUAAGUG